UCUGGCUUAUAGCCAAGCGGUAUCACUAGAGUGCCCAACUAAAUGCUGGUAACUAGUGACGAGGGUUGCGCUCGUUGCGGGACUUAACCCAACAUCUCACAACACGAGCUGACGACAGCCAUGCAGCACCUGUCACCGCGUCCCCGAAGGGAACUCCUGCUUUCACAGGAUAGCGCGGGAUGUCAAAUCUAGGUAAGGUUUUUCGCGUAGCAUCGAAUUGAACCACAUGCUCCACCGCUUGUGCGGGCCCCCGUCAAUUUCUUUGAGUUUUAAUCUUGCGACCGUACUUCCCAGGCGGGAUACUUAAUGCGUUAGCUUCGUCACCAAAACAAUUAGGUAUUCUGACGACUAGUAUCCAUCGUUUAGGGCGUGGACUAC
This 378-nucleotide unclassified non-coding RNA is filed under the name uncultured delta proteobacterium. Its description in RNAcentral is "contains 16S-23S intergenic spacer region". The record is from RNAcentral. Lineage: Bacteria; Deltaproteobacteria.